AUCCCAUAAACCGUGGCUCAGUUCAGAUCGUAGGCUGCAACUCGCCUACGUGAAGUAGGAAUCGCUAGUAAUCGCAGGUCAGCAUACUGCGGUGAAUACGUUCCCGGGCCUUGUACACACCGCCCGUCACACCAUGGAAGUUGGCCAUGCCCGAAGUCGUUACUCCAACCCUUGUGGAGGAGGACGCCGAAGGUGGGGCUAAUGACUGGAGUGAAGUCGUAACAAGGUAUCCGUACCGGAAGGUGCGGAUGGAUCACCUCCUAA
This 264-nucleotide ribosomal RNA is filed under the name uncultured cyanobacterium. RNAcentral describes it as "partial 16S ribosomal RNA". It matches the Rfam family "Bacterial small subunit ribosomal RNA", at positions 1271 to 1533 of the family's 1533-position model. The record is from RNAcentral. Lineage: Bacteria; Bacillati; Cyanobacteriota.